GGGUGUGUAGCUCAGGUGGUAGAGCACUUGACUUUUAAUCAAGUUGUCCGGGGUUCGAAUCCCCGCACGCUCACUA
RNAcentral lists this transfer RNA (76 nucleotides) under Anaerostipes caccae. RNAcentral describes it as "tRNA-Lys". It matches the Rfam family "tRNA". Rfam says of the family: Transfer RNA (tRNA) molecules are approximately 80 nucleotides in length. The record is from RNAcentral. Lineage: Bacteria; Bacillati; Bacillota; Clostridia; Lachnospirales; Lachnospiraceae. RNAcentral also lists the same sequence under 16 other names.